Molecule: small nucleolar RNA, 103 nt
Filed under: Xylariales sp. No.14919
Lineage: Eukaryota; Fungi; Ascomycota; Sordariomycetes; Xylariales
Description: fungal sp. No.14919 Small nucleolar RNA Z13/snr52
Rfam family: Small nucleolar RNA Z13/snr52
About the family: Z13 or snr52 is a member of the C/D class of snoRNA which contain the C (UGAUGA) and D (CUGA) box motifs. Most of the members of the box C/D family function in directing site-specific 2'-O-methylation of substrate RNAs.
Source: Rfam by way of RNAcentral
GAAUCCUUUAUGAUGAACCAUUUCGGAUGUAAACACAAAUUCCACUGAAUUGCGCAAACAAUCUCGUGUUGAUAUUUCCGUUGCCUUCCUUCUGAUCUACACU